GACGAACGCUGGCGGCGUGCUUAACACAUGCAAGUCGAACGGAAAGGCCCUGCGUUUGUGGGGUUCUCGUUUGGCGAACGGGUGAGUAACACGUGUGUAACCUCCCCCUGUCUUUGUGAUAACACCUGGAAACUCGGGCUAAUAUCGGAUAGGAGCUCCUGCUGCAUGGUGGUGGAUGGAAAGUUACGGUGGUUGUGGAUGGACUCGCUGGUUAUCAGCUUGUUGGUGGGGUAGUGGCUUACCAAGGCUUUGACGGGUAGCCGGCCUGAGAGGGUGACCGGCGACAUUGGGACUAAGGUAGGGCGCAGAAUCCUACGGGAGGCAGCAGUGGAGAGUCUUGCAGAGUGGGGGGAAGCCUGAUACGGCAACGCCGCGUGCGGGAUGCCGGCCUUCGGGUUGAGAACCGAUUUGGAAGGAGACGAGGAGUGCGUGACGGUAAUGGGUAAGGAAGCACCGGCUAACUACGUG
RNAcentral lists this ribosomal RNA (468 nucleotides) under uncultured bacterium. RNAcentral's name for it is "partial 16S ribosomal RNA". It matches the Rfam family "Bacterial small subunit ribosomal RNA", at positions 28 to 507 of the family's 1533-position model. The record is from RNAcentral.